This 124-nucleotide small RNA is filed under the name Arabidopsis thaliana (thale cress). RNAcentral describes it as "ATSL204580". Lineage: Eukaryota; Viridiplantae; Streptophyta; Magnoliopsida; Brassicales; Brassicaceae. The record is from RNAcentral.
CCGUGGAACUUGUUGCUCUGAACCAUGGCAAUGAGACCGCUCUUGAUCUCAAAGUUGUUGUUCUGCACAGGUGGAGGCACGAUGCCAUUACGCUGAUUGUGGUUGCGUGGUGCAUCGCCUGCAU